AAGUCGAGGGGCAGCAUGAACUUAGCUUGCUAAGUUUGAUGGCGACCGGCGCACGGGUGAGUAACACGUAUCCAACCUGCCGAUGACUCGGGGAUAGCCUUUCGAAAGAAAGAUUAAUACCCGAUGGCAUAGUUCUUCCGCAUGGUUUUACUAUUAAAGAAUUUCGGUUAUCGAUGGGGAUGCGUUCCAUUAGAUAGUAGGCGGGGUAACGGCCCACCUAGUCUUCGAUGGAUAGGGGUUCUGAGAGGAAGGUCCCCACAUUGGAACUGAGACACGGUCCAAACUCC
This 287-nucleotide ribosomal RNA is filed under the name uncultured Bacteroides sp. RNAcentral describes it as "partial 16S ribosomal RNA". It matches the Rfam family "Bacterial small subunit ribosomal RNA", at positions 59 to 339 of the family's 1533-position model. The record is from RNAcentral. Lineage: Bacteria; Pseudomonadati; Bacteroidota; Bacteroidia; Bacteroidales; Bacteroidaceae.